AACAACUUGCACUGAGUAUGACCAACAUGAGAAAUCACUUGGAUGUCUAUUCACUCAUCAGUGGUCUUCUCGAUACUACAGUAGUGUGAGUGAUCCUUUCACCUACGGUGCAUCGGCUAUUCGUAGUGAGGCUACUAUAGCUUGACUGCAUGUUCACUUGAUCCCUAGCUAUUUGGAUCCUUGCUGUGUAUGUUGAAUACGGUGGGUUCAGAUUCACUGUUAGGAGUAGGAUGCACCUAGAUAGAAUAUAUCGAUCUUGAUAGAAAAGGAGAAGUCCUAUGUGAUUCAUGAGACUAAGUUCAGAACGUCUUUGACUAAAGCAAGUG
This 326-nucleotide long non-coding RNA is filed under the name Elaeis guineensis (African oil palm). RNAcentral's name for it is "long non-coding RNA (EGUI_LNC041095)". Lineage: Eukaryota; Viridiplantae; Streptophyta; Magnoliopsida; Arecales; Arecaceae. The record is from RNAcentral.